RNAcentral lists this ribosomal RNA (471 nucleotides) under uncultured Rhizobium sp. RNAcentral's name for it is "bacterial SSU rRNA". It matches the Rfam family "Bacterial small subunit ribosomal RNA", at positions 8 to 525 of the family's 1533-position model. The record is from RNAcentral. Lineage: Bacteria; Pseudomonadati; Pseudomonadota; Alphaproteobacteria; Hyphomicrobiales; Rhizobiaceae.
AGAGUUUGAUCAUGGCUCAGAACGAACGCUGGCGGCAGGCUUAACACAUGCAAGUCGAACGGGCCCUUCGGGGUCAGUGGCAGACGGGUGAGUAACGCGUGGGAACGUACCCUUUUCUACGGAAUAACGCAUGGAAACGUGUGCUAAUACCGUAUACGCCCUUUGGGGGAAAGAUUUAUCGGGGAAGGAACGGCCCGCGUUGGAUUAGCUAGUUGGUGGGGUAAAGGCCUACCAAGGCGACGAUCCAUAGCUGGUCUGAGAGGAUGAUCAGCCACAUUGGGACUGAGACACGGCCCAAACUCCUACGGGAGGCAGCAGUGGGGAAUAUUGGACAAUGGGCGCAAGCCUGAUCCAGCCAUGCCGCGUGAGUGAAGAAGGCCCUAGGGUUGUAAAGCUCUUUCACCGGAGAAGAUAAUGACGGUAUCCGGAGAAGAAGCCCCGGCUAACUUCGUGCCAGCAGCCGCGGUAAUA